This 253-nucleotide ribosomal RNA is filed under the name uncultured bacterium. Its description in RNAcentral is "partial 16S ribosomal RNA". It matches the Rfam family "Bacterial small subunit ribosomal RNA", at positions 524 to 776 of the family's 1533-position model. The record is from RNAcentral.
UACGUAGGGUGCAAGCGUUGUCCGGAAUUAUUGGGCGUAAAGAGCUCGUAGGCGGUCUGUCACGUCGGCUGUGAAAACCCGAGGCUCAACCUCGGGCCUGCAGUCGAUACGGGCAAACUAGAGUACUGCAGGGGAGACUGGAAUUCCUGGUGUAGCGGUGAAAUGCGCAGGUAUCAGGAGGAACACCGGUGGCGAAGGCGGUUCUCUGGGCAUUACCUGACGCUGAGGAGCGAAAGUGUGGGGAGCGAACAGG